RNAcentral lists this unclassified non-coding RNA (1402 nucleotides) under Amphibalanus amphitrite. RNAcentral describes it as "adenosine receptor A2b-like, transcript variant X4". Lineage: Eukaryota; Metazoa; Arthropoda; Thecostraca; Balanomorpha; Balanidae. The record is from RNAcentral.
GCCGCCAUGAUUGCACAUUUUGUUGAGAAGGGGCUGGUGCUGAUACUGGGCUGUAAUACGGUGGCCAUGCUCCCGUACGCCUUGGGAGUGUGCCUCAGAUAUGCGUACAUUGAGAACAUAUACAUACAUGAGAACGUCCUCUCCGAACUGAAGAAGGUAAACCAGAUGUUCGUGUCAUUAUACUUCGCCAAAUCAGCCAUCAACCCGGUGGUUUAUGGCUGGAAAAACGCAGAAUUCGCCGCAGCAUUUCGGCAGAUUGUCGGCUGUGGCGACCGAUCUAAGCUACGGCGACAUUCAGCCAGCGCCAUCUGCACAGUAUCUGGGCGACUGCGGCGCCACCUGGAUCCAGUGAACGAACUGUCCAGCUCAGCCUCCGUGGAAACCAUCGAUACUUAUCUGUGACACAUUUAGUUAGCGAUAGAUCAGUGUUUCGUGAAGAUAAUAAGCUAUAAUUUAUUUUUCUACAUAUUCGUUGAUGGUAUGCAUUUAAAACUUGUAUCAGCACAAAUUUGAUAGCUUGCAUCGGCAAAUAUCCUAAUUCCUAUUCAAAAAGUCGUGCAGCAUGUGAUCGGAACAAUGACCAUGCCCCAAGCGUAUGGUGAAACACAACAGGCAGUCAGAUACAAAUAUUUUCAAGUCAUUUUGACCAGCAUACCGUUAUAUUGAAGGCUCCUGUUAUGCUUAGAAAAUGUACUACGACAGCGAUGGUUUAUCGGUGCUUUUGCGAAAAGCAGCAGUACCUAUCGCUCUCGGUUGCAUCGUUUGCCUGACUUCCUUGCAUUUACUGGAAAUACAAUUGUCAGGGAGGAGAGCGAAAAAAAUAGGAGAUUGCCAAUGCUUUUGGGUAGUAUUGAUGAAGGAUGGCUUGGAGUGCUAAGAGGAUAUUCAUUGGUCAUGAGCUUAUAAUUUUGAUUUUAAACAGCUACAUCGAUUAAAACUAUAGUGCAAUCACUCUGCAAUGAUAACCGUCCUGAAAAACGUUACGUACUAUAAUGCGUGUAUUUUAAUUGCUUAUUGCCUGUAUUUUAAUUGAGUUGCCAAAGAAUGAGGUAAAUUCAUCACGGUCAAAGGUUGGGGCCUGGCGGCAUGAAACAGCAUCGCUUAACAAUGUGAUUGUAGGUUCUUUUUAGCAGGCCAUGGCAGGGGUUAAGGACCAAAAAGAUGGAUCCUGGUAUGUUUCCUGGUACAUUGUUAUUGUUCUUUGCAUUUAAUUUAUAAAUUACCAUGUCAAAACGCCGAUGUUUGGCAUGCGUAAAAUUUCAAAUUAGCAAAACGAAAACGAGACGGACGCUGCUAAUGAUCUGUCUUGCCGAGAUAUUUUGCUAUAUAAACUUAGCCGUUGUUGGUGACAUAAGAGACCAGUGUUGAAUCCUUGUUUGUAAAUAAAUCCAAAGAACACCUA